CAGUAGCCGCGGGAAUACGGAGGGGGCUAGCGUUGUUCGGAAUUACUGGGCGUAAAGCGCACGUAGGCGGCGAUUUAAGUCAGGGGUGAAAUCCCGCAGCUCAACUGCGGAACUGCCUUUGAUACUGGGUAUCUUGAGUAUGGAAGAGGUAGUGGAAUUGCGAGUGUAGAGGUGAAAUUCGUAGAUAUUCGCAGGAACACCAGUGGCGAAGGCGGCUAACUGGUCCAUAACUGACGCUGAGGUGCGAAAGCGUGGGGAGCAAACAGGAUUAGAUACCCCUGUAGUCCCUGUCUCUUAUACA
Molecule: ribosomal RNA, 301 nt
Filed under: uncultured bacterium
Lineage: Bacteria
Description: partial 16S ribosomal RNA
Rfam family: Bacterial small subunit ribosomal RNA
Source: RNAcentral